Molecule: ribosomal RNA, 874 nt
Filed under: Weissella confusa
Lineage: Bacteria; Bacillati; Bacillota; Bacilli; Lactobacillales; Lactobacillaceae
Description: bacterial SSU rRNA
Rfam family: Bacterial small subunit ribosomal RNA
Source: RNAcentral
GGCAAGGUCGAACGCUGUUGUGGUUCAACUGAUUUGAAGAGCUUGCUCAGAUAUGACGAUGGACAUUGCAAAGAGUGGCGAACGGGUGAGUAACACGUGGGAAACCUACCUCUUAGCAGGGGAUAACAUUUGGAAACAGAUGCUAAUACCGUAUAACAAUGACAACCGCAUGGUUGUUAUUUAAAAGAUGGUUCUGCUAUCACUAAGAGAUGGUCCCGCGGUGCAUUAGCUAGUUGGUAAGGUAAUGGCUUACCAAGGCGAUGAUGCAUAGCCGAGUUGAGAGACUGAUCGGCCACAAUGGGACUGAGACACGGCCCAUACUCCUACGGGAGGCAGCAGUAGGGAAUCUUCCACAAUGGGCGAAAGCCUGAUGGAGCAACGCCGCGUGUGUGAUGAAGGGUUUCGGCUCGUAAAACACUGUUGUAAGAGAAGAAUGACAUUGAGAGUAACUGUUCAAUGUGUGACGGUAUCUUACCAGAAAGGAACGGCUAAAUACGUGCCAGCAGCCGCGGUAAUACGUAUGUUCCAAGCGUUAUCCGGAUUUAUUGGGCGUAAAGCGAGCGCAGACGGUUAUUUAAGUCUGAAGUGAAAGCCCUCAGCUCAACUGAGGAAUUGCUUUGGAAACUGGAUGACUUGAGUGCAGUAGAGGAAAGUGGAACUCCAUGUGUAGCGGUGAAAUGCGUAGAUAUAUGGAAGAACACCAGUGGCGAAGGCGGCUUUCUGGACUGUAACUGACGUUGAGGCUCGAAAGUGUGGGUAGCAAACAGGAUUAGAUACCCUGGUAGUCCACACCGUAAACGAUGAGUGCUAGGUGUUUGAGGGUUUCCGCCCUUUAGUGCCGCAGCUAACGCAUUAAGGCACUCCGCCUGGGGGA